AAAUAAGAAGACAAAAAAAUGGAUGUGGUGAAAUCAGAACUUGAGAAUGAGAAAUGAAAAAAAAAGGACCUGUCAGACAACCGUGCAACCACCCUAACCGUGGUCAAGCACAAGCUAGGUAACGAUCCUCUACAGCACGGAGAGUACGAAGACAAACCUAGCCGUUAAUCACGCUCAGAUUACACGGUAUUGAAUCAUCAACCAGGGUUCAGGGACUGUCUCCUUAGAAAUCAAGGAUACAGAGGUACUUCCUAUAGAACAGAUCCUGUUCAAGUAAGGUCGUGACCUCGUAUGCUUUCUACAGAUAUAUAAACAAGCCAUAUGUUCUCUGGUUUAACGAUGUGGGACGUUGUUUUCCACUUGCUAACCACAUCUAUCACACGCGUGAUUAGUUUGUUUAGAAAAAUGUGUAACGGCACAGAGACCUUUACUUGAACCUUUCUUUUGGUCAACUGAUAAAACCGUGCGGUUCUAUAACAUCGCUAGUACUCUCCUGGCAAGGACUUUGUCUGAUGGUUUAAAGGAUUCACUACAUAACCUUAAAUAUAAGGUUCUGAAGCAGCCGCGGCUAAGUUGGGUUAGAAGCCUAAAACCAGAUUUCCAGAGUAUAAUAGUUAACUCUUUUCAUAUUUCAUUUCAAAAUUAUAUUUCUACUUUGCGAAAAUAUUUUAUUUCUACUUUAUUCGAAGAAAUUAUC
Raphanus sativus (radish) is the source of this 697-nucleotide long non-coding RNA. RefSeq lists it as uncharacterized. The record is from RefSeq and is a predicted model, not a curated record. Lineage: Eukaryota; Viridiplantae; Streptophyta; Magnoliopsida; Brassicales; Brassicaceae. The transcript has 3 exons.